This is a long non-coding RNA of Dreissena polymorpha, 3064 nucleotides long. RefSeq lists it as uncharacterized. The transcript is spliced from 2 exons. The record is from RefSeq and is a predicted model, not a curated record. NCBI's taxonomy places the organism in Eukaryota, Metazoa, Mollusca, Bivalvia, Myida, Dreissenidae.
GCGUGUUUCCGUCAACAAUUUGUUUGUGUAGACAGAAGAGGCUACAGUUUUCAUCCAAUCUUUAUGAAAUUUGGUCAGAAUGUUUAUCUUGAUGAAUCUGGGUUGGGAUUGUAUUUGGGUCAUCAGGGGUCAAAAACUAGGUCACUAGGUCAAAUAAUAUACAAACCUUGUGUAGACAAUAGAGGUCAUAGUUUUCAUCCAAUCUUUAUGAAAUUUAGUCAGAAUGUUUAUCUUAAUCAAAUCUGGGUUGGGAUUGUAUUUGGGUCAUCUGGGGUCAAAAACUAGGUCACUAGGUCAAAUAAUAGAAAAAAACUUGUGUAGACAAUAGAGGUCACAGUUUUCAUCCAAUCUUUAUGAAAUUUGGUCAGAAUGUUUAUCUUGAUGAAAUCUGGGUUGGGUUGUAUUUAGGUCAUCUGGGGUCAAAGUCUAGGUCACUAGGUCAAAUAAUAUAAAAACCUUGUGUAGACAAUAGAGGUCACAGUUUUCAUCAGAUGUUUAUGAAAUUUGGUCAGAAUGUUUAUCUUAAUAAUAUCUGAUUUUGGAUCGUAUAUGGGUCAUCUGGGGUCAAAAUUAGGUCACCGGGCCAAUUCUAGUAAAACCUUGUGUAGAUGAAAGAGAUCACAGUUUUCAUCAUGUCUUAAUGAAAUUUUGUCAGAAUGUAUUAAUUAAUGAAAUCGGGCUUGGGAUUGUAUAUGGGUAUGAUAGAAUUUAAGUUGCUGUAGCAAGGUUAGUCAGGUGAGCGAUUUAGGGCCAUCAUGACCCUCUUGUUUUUGUUAGUUUCUGUGAUUAUGAUUUUUGUCUAAUAACAGAGGUUUUACCGGAUACGCAAUCAUGCAUGCCAUAUGUCCUUAUCUUGGCGGGAAACACCCGUUUUCGGGAUACCAGUCAUACGUUCUAUACAUGCGACUAUUUUUGCUGACAUUAACCUACUGGAGUCUCCCAUCCUUUUAAAUUGGAUCAAUUUAUUUCCAAAAUUAGGGAUGUCUAGUAUAUUUAUUUCUAUAUUUAGAAUAUUUCUUACAGAAAUUGCUUUAAGGAAACAGUGCAGACCCUGAUGAGACUCCACAUCAUGCAGCGCCUUAUCUGGGUCUACGCUGUUUGCCAAGGCCUUUUUUCUAGACGCUAGGCAUAAAUGGGUUAAGAAAAAACUGUGCUUGUACUAUAAGUAUACUUUAAAUGUGAAAAAAAGUUAAGUAAAAUUUUACCAGCAUUCACUUUUGUAUUGCACAAUAAAUAGCUAGCAUUAAUGUGUUUAACCAUUCUGUCACAAACAGAAGCGGAAUUUGUUCAGUCAGAUGUAUGGGAAAAACUAUAGCCAUGAGUGUAAUGUGUAUGUGUUUAUAUUUUUUGCUUUAUAUAUGUGUUUUAAGUUUUAAUAUAAUGACUCCAGUCUUUUCUUUCAAUGGCUGUGUGUUAAGGCUCUCUUAUAUGUGCCAGGCUUAACGAUACUUCACAAACAUGAAUUAAGCAGUUGUCCUAUUUUUGCUCUCUUUUAUUUUAAAGUGCAACAAGCUGCAAUUAUUUUGAUGACAUGAUCUGCUAACAUUCUUUGCUUUUUAAGUUAAUAUGUAUUGUUUAUUUUUAAGACUUAUUUUUUCUUGUUGUUGAUUUUGUUAUUUUACAACAAUAAUGUGUUUUGUGUCCUGUGUAGAAUCGUCUUUGUUUGUCAUGUAUCAAACUAUAACUAUUUUUUCUAUGCCAGUAAAAAACUUACAUCCAAUAUUUAUUGCCAUUAAAUCACAAGUAAUUGUGCCUUGGUUAUUUAGAACCCAAACAAUAUAACGUUUCUCACAUCUUAGUGACAAUAAAGCAAAUCUUAAAUUAUAAUGUAUAUUUUAUUAGCUCAUCUAAGAACAAUGUGCUCAUUGUGAACUUGUAUGAUUGCCUUUUGUACGGCAUAUAAAUCAUGUGUUGUGUAUGGUUAACCCUUUGCAUGCUGGGUAAUUUGUCAUCUGCUAAAAUGUCAUCUGCUGAAUUACUAAAAUUAGCAUUUUCUUCGAUUUUUUUCAAAGAAUACUAUCAGAAUAGCAAACAGUUUGGAUCCAGAUGAGACGCCACGUUCUGUGGCGUCUCAUCUGGAUCCAAACUGUGUGCAAAGGCCUUAAAAAUUCGGUUCCAGCACUGUAAGGUUUAACAUUUAUCGUGUUAAUAAUCAAGAUGCCACAUUUUUGUCCGAUCUUCAUGAAACUCUGCGGGACAACUUUUCUCAUAUGGCCGUAAUAAAGCCUUGUUACACUCUAAAAGACACAUUCUUUGAAGAACAUAUGCCCAAAUGAAAUCUUGUCUUAGAUUGAUUUUGGUCACUUGUUCAAAUAAAAUAAAGCCUUUUAACACUUGAAAAGUCAAUUUUUUGUCAAAUCUUUAUGAACGUUAAUUUUGUUUUAAUGAUAUAUAAGCCAUGUUUGAAAAUAACAAUAGGAUCCAAGGAGUCAACUGUAUUAUUUAUUUGUCCUUAGUGAGUGAAGUGAAAUUGUUUAAAAGUAUGACACUAAAAUAUAGUUACCGUAUUAAUUAUACUUGUAUUACACUUGUAUGUGCAUAAAUAUAGGAAAUAAAUAGUGAUUAUGAGUGUUUUGUAAGAUGAAUGUAGCUUUUGUUUCUAUAAAUUUUAGGGUAAUUGGUAAAUACAACGGAGGUCUCUGUGAAAACCAGGUUUGAUGCAUGUAAAGUAUAGUUGGAGAUUAGCCUGUUAAGUCCGCUGCAGCUUAUUAGGGAUAAAAACUGUCUGCUGAGACUGAAUAUUUGUAUAUAAAAGACUUCCUUUGAAAAACAAAAUUCAUUAAAAGAAGAAAGUGUCAAUUUUGAUAAGCAUGUGGGACUGCACAGUUUAAUCUUUGGCAAUAUUUUGGGCACAUGGAUGAAGCUUAGAUGUCCAUUAAACUGGCUCAAUUAUUUAUGUCUUUCUUGUUUUACAUAUUGCUUGAAUUGUUUUGUUUAUAACUAAAGCAAACCACUUUCAAACCUGCUUGAUGAUUAUUCCAUCAAUCUAUUUCCAAGUUCAAUCAAUUAUAAUUCAAUUGACAAUUGCAUUCAAUUAUGGAUUUAUAAUAAAUAACAGUUGUUU